RNAcentral lists this transfer RNA (73 nucleotides) under Microbacterium sp. RNAcentral describes it as "tRNA-Val". It matches the Rfam family "tRNA". From Rfam's summary of the family: Transfer RNA (tRNA) molecules are approximately 80 nucleotides in length. RNAcentral also lists the same sequence under 1 other name. The record is from RNAcentral. Lineage: Bacteria; Bacillati; Actinomycetota; Actinomycetes; Micrococcales; Microbacteriaceae.
GGCCCUUUAGCUCAGCUGGUAGAGCACCACGUUUACACCGUGGGUGUCGUCGGUUCGAACCCGGCAGGGGCCA